UACGUAGGUGGCAAGCGUUGUCCGGAAUUAUUGGGCGUAAAGCGCGCGCAGGCGGCCUCUUAAGUCUGAUGUGAAAGCUUCCGGCUCAACCGGAGAGGGUCAUUGGAAACUGGGAGGCUUGAGUAUAGGAGAGAAGAGCGGAAUUCCACGUGUAGCGGUGAAAUGCGUAGAGAUGUGGAGGAACACCAGUGGCGAAGGCGACUCUCUGGCCUAUAACUGACGCUGAGGCGUGAAAGCGUGGGUAGCAAACAGG
RNAcentral lists this unclassified non-coding RNA (253 nucleotides) under uncultured Caryophanales bacterium. RNAcentral describes it as "uncultured Bacillales bacterium contains 16S-23S intergenic spacer region". It matches the Rfam family "Bacterial small subunit ribosomal RNA", at positions 524 to 776 of the family's 1533-position model. The record is from RNAcentral. Lineage: Bacteria; Bacillati; Bacillota; Bacilli; Caryophanales.